Ictidomys tridecemlineatus (thirteen-lined ground squirrel) is the source of this 742-nucleotide long non-coding RNA. RefSeq lists it as uncharacterized. NCBI's taxonomy places the organism in Eukaryota, Metazoa, Chordata, Mammalia, Rodentia, Sciuridae. The record is from RefSeq and is a predicted model, not a curated record.
CCUCCAUCAGAUCCCCGGAAUAGCAGCCUCUGUGCCUGUCCAUGUCCAGGAGGAGCAUCUGACCCCUGCGUCCCACGCAGAUUCUCUGCUGGGACGUUAACCCCUGGGCUGCCUGAGCACCUGCAUCCUUCAGUCCGUGCCCUACCUUGCUCUAGGCAUUGAGAAACAGACGUGGAGAAAGGAGCCAAAAAUCCUCAUAACUUGGGCCACAAAAGAGGCAAUCGUGGACUGCAGUGUGUUGCAUAGAGACUCCUGUAUGAGACAAGAACGUGGGGCCACUCUGAGGAGGUGACCACAGGACUGUGAGCUCAGUGAGAAGGCCGGCCCAGUGUCCCUGCAGAUUCACAGAGCGACCUUAAGGUCAGCUGCCCUCUCGGGCCAGGGGUGGCAUUACUGGACUUUAUUCCCAUUAAGAAAAACAUGGAACACCUGUGAGCCGUCAUUGCCAGGAAGUCGGGACUUGCUGAAUGGACAGAGCCUCCUCAGGGCUGGAACGAGACUGAGGUGGAGUGAGGGCCACUGAGCACGCGAGAAGGGGCCAGUGUCGUGACCCCCAAGCCUUUCCCAGCCCCUUGAGGUGCGAGUUGAGUGGAGCCACCCUUCAAAUAACCAGGUCGAAGCGUGAGCUUCUUUCAUUUUUUUUUUUUCAAUAUUUAAAAAAAUAUGUUACAAAACAAUAUCAUUCAUCAUAUAUUUCUUGCUUAUGUUCCUUCUUAAAAAUAUUAAAGUCAUAAAAAAGUCA